CAUGGAACAGCGAGUACGGAAAGUUCUUCAUGGAAUGGUAUUCCGAGAAGCUACUAGAACAUGGAGACAGACUCUUAGCUUCAGCCAAAGGAAUCUUCCAAGGAACCGGAGCAAAGCUAUCCGGUAAAGUAGCAGGGAUUCACUGGCACUACAACACCAGGUCACACGCUGCUGAGCUAACCGCUGGAUACUACAACACAAGAAACCACGACGGGUACUUACCAAUAGCCAAGAUGUUCAACAAACAUGGCGUUGUGCUUAACUUCACCUGCAUGGAGAUGAAAGACGGUGAACAACCAGAGCACGCGAACUGCUCACCGGAAGGUCUGGUUAAGCAAGUGCAGAACGCGACGAGGCAGGCAGGAACAGAGCUAGCUGGUGAGAACGCGUUAGAGAGAUACGACUCGAGCGCGUUUGGACAAGUGGUUGCAACGAAUAGGUCAGAUUCUGGAAACGGGUUAACCGCAUUUACUUACCUGAGAAUGAACAAGAGGUUAUUUGAGGGUCAAAAUUGGCAGCAGUUAGUGGAGUUUGUUAAGAACAUGAAGGAAGGUGG
This 556-nucleotide long non-coding RNA is filed under the name Eutrema salsugineum. Its description in RNAcentral is "long non-coding RNA (ESAL_LNC002134)". The record is from RNAcentral. Lineage: Eukaryota; Viridiplantae; Streptophyta; Magnoliopsida; Brassicales; Brassicaceae.